ACCCAGCUAGCUCAGUCAGUAGAACAUGAGACUCUUAAUCUCAGGGUCAUGGGUUUGUGCCCCAUAAUGGGUA
Transfer RNA from Neotoma lepida (desert woodrat), 73 nucleotides. It matches the Rfam family "tRNA". Rfam says of the family: Transfer RNA (tRNA) molecules are approximately 80 nucleotides in length. Their secondary structure includes four short double-helical elements and three loops (D, anti-codon, and T loops). Further hydrogen bonds mediate the characteristic L-shaped molecular structure. tRNAs have two regions of fundamental functional importance: the anti-codon, which is responsible for specific mRNA codon recognition, and the 3' end, to which the tRNAs corresponding amino acid is attached (by aminoacyl-tRNA synthetases). tRNAs cope with the degeneracy of the genetic code in two manners: having more than one tRNA (with a specific anti-codon) for a particular amino acid; and 'wobble' base-pairing, i.e. permitting non-standard base-pairing at the 3rd anti-codon position. The record is from Rfam. NCBI's taxonomy places the organism in Eukaryota, Metazoa, Chordata, Mammalia, Rodentia, Cricetidae.